Molecule: ribosomal RNA, 668 nt
Filed under: uncultured bacterium
Lineage: Bacteria
Description: bacterial SSU rRNA
Rfam family: Bacterial small subunit ribosomal RNA
Source: RNAcentral
AGUUUGAUCAUGGCUCAGGACGAACGCUGGCGGCGCGCUUAACACAUGCAAGUCGAGCGAUAACCAUGGCUUCGGCUAUGGGGAGAGCGGCGAACGGGUGAGUAACACGUGAGUAAUCUGCCCUCGACACUGGGAUAGCCCGGGGAAACCCGGAUUAAUACCGGAUAGCCUCUCGAGCUCUCGGGCUCGUGAGAAAAGAUGGCUUCGGCUUUCGGUUGAGGAGGAGCUUGCGGCGGAUUAGCUUGUUGGUGAGGUAACGGCCCACCAAGGCGACGAUCCGUAGCUGGUCUGAGAGGACGAUCAGCCACACUGGGACUGAGACACGGCCCAGACUCCUACGGGAGGCAGCAGUGGGGAAUCUUGCGCAAUGGGCGAAAGACUGACGCAGCGACGCCGCGUGAGGGAAGAAGGCCUUCGGGUUGUAAACCUCUUUCAGGAGGGACGAAGCUACUCGGGUUAAUAGCCCAGAGGGUGACGGUACCUCCAGAAGAAGCCCCGGCUAACUACGUGCCAGCAGCCGCGGUAAUACGUAGGGGGCAAGCGUUGUCCGGAUUUAUUGGGCGUAAAGAGCGUGUAGGCGGCCAGAUAAGUCCGCUGUGAAAACUCGAAGCUCAACUUCGAGCUGUCGGUGGAAACUAUCUGGCUAGAGUCCGGAAGAGGAGAGUGGA